CAGUUGAACGUCAUAAACAAAAAUCUCUUGUUUUUGCGAAUACGUUUAUGUUUUAAAUUUUGAAUUAAAACUGAAUAGUGAAUAGCGGAUUUAAUGGAUAUAUGGUUUAAAGUGUAUGUAUUUUAAAUAUCAUGUGAAUUUAUCUAUUCAAUUCUACAAGAAAUGGGUGGUUGUACAGCUGUAAAGCGUUCAAAUACACGUAGUAAAGGUUUUCGUCUUUUUCGAUUUCCUAAAGACCCUAAAAUACGAAAAACUUGGUUACAAAAUUGUCGCCGUGUAAAAAUAUAGGCAUUAGAUAUAAAUAUCGUAAUAUAAUAAAAUAUAAUUUUAUAUCUUAUCCAUAUUCCAAUGGAUCCAUUUUGAAGAAGGACAAUUUGAACAACAUCGUCAGGAUGGUGUAAAAAAACUCAAGCCAAAUGCUAUACCAACACUGUUUGAUAUACCAAAUCCACCUCGCUUGUUGAAAACCAAAAGAAAAUCUUUGUAUGAGGUAACUGAGUCUAAAGAUUCUGAUUUGGCCCAUUAUCAAUCAAUAUUGUUAAAAGAGAAGCAAGAAUUGUUUUUUGUUCAACAAGAAAAUAACAACUUGAAAAUAAGACAUCAGAACUAUUGAAGGAAAAAAUAAAUUGUUAUCAUUACAAAAAAGAAAUUAUUGGAAUCAAAAUUACAAAUGGUCCAUGAAGCUUUGGAUGAGAUUAUGUACAGUUGAAAAACAAUGACAGCUUUGUAAAGUAUUAGAGUAAACAAAUAGAUAUAGUUAAAUAUAAAUUAUGUAUUUAAGUACCAAAUUUUUAUUUGAUGUAUUUUAUCAGUGUUGUAAAGUAUUUAAUUUUAUUUUAAACUAGUUUAGUAAUAGGUAUAUUAUUAUUAAUUUAUCACAUACAUUUUGAAAUAAUAAGUACAAUAACAUAAUAAUACAAUAACUUAACAGUUUUAUUAAAUUAAGUUAUGCAGCUUAA
Metopolophium dirhodum (rose-grain aphid) is the source of this 959-nucleotide long non-coding RNA. RefSeq lists it as uncharacterized. The transcript is spliced from 4 exons. Lineage: Eukaryota; Metazoa; Arthropoda; Insecta; Hemiptera; Aphididae. The record is from RefSeq and is a predicted model, not a curated record.